GAUGUGAGCUGUCUGCUGUUUAUUCCAGCUUCCACCUCAGUGACAGUGCAAGCUCAGUGAACUGUUCAAGGUAAAAAAAAUUAAAACAUUUCAGAAUUUUUAAGAUAUUAACAAUUAAAUAAGUAUGUGAUUACAUCAUGAAGGAGGCUACUGAUUCUGGCCCUGUGACACUUGGUGGUGACGUGUGAGCUGAUUCACCUGGACACUCAGCAAAAUAUGGACUCUACACCAUGAGGCAGGCACAAGUUAAUACUUAUAAGAGCACAUAAGCAUGAGGAUGUCCUCACACACCUGUAACCUAUCAGCUCAUCUGGCAGAAUAGAGAGAGAAGAGACAACACCACAUCUCCUGUUCCUGGAAAGCCUUCAGCCAUCCUUCGAUGACUGAGAACCUCCAUCAGCUCUGUCUCCUGUCUGCCUACAAUUAUUAUAAUAAAUAUUGUGUUUGACAAGUUUUUUGUGCUGCCAAAUAUCUCAUUUUGAUUCCAGUUUUGAUAUUUUAAUGGAUAUUUAUAAAUUACAUUAAUUGAAUUAUCACAUUGUCGCAUGUUUAACUAGCUCUAUUGUGAUGAAUU
Molecule: non-coding RNA, 574 nt
Organism: Nothobranchius furzeri (turquoise killifish)
Lineage: Eukaryota; Metazoa; Chordata; Actinopteri; Cyprinodontiformes; Nothobranchiidae
Source: RefSeq, a predicted model, not a curated record